Molecule: ribosomal RNA, 799 nt
Filed under: Streptomyces sp. D42
Lineage: Bacteria; Bacillati; Actinomycetota; Actinomycetes; Kitasatosporales; Streptomycetaceae
Description: bacterial SSU rRNA
Rfam family: Bacterial small subunit ribosomal RNA
Source: RNAcentral
UGCUUACACAUGCAAGUCGAACGAUGAAGCCGCUUCGGUGGUGGAUUAGUGGCGAACGGGUGAGUAACACGUGGGCAAUCUGCCCUUCACUCUGGGACAAGCCCUGGAAACGGGGUCUAAUACCGGAUAAUACUCUGUUCCGCAUGGAACGGGGUUGAAAGCUCCGGCGGUGAAGGAUGAGCCCGCGGCCUAUCAGCUUGUUGGUGGGGUAAUGGCCUACCAAGGCGACGACGGGUAGCCGGCCUGAGAGGGCGACCGGCCACACUGGGACUGAGACACGGCCCAGACUCCUACGGGAGGCAGCAGUGGGGAAUAUUGCACAAUGGGCGAAAGCCUGAUGCAGCGACGCCGCGUGAGGGAUGACGGCCUUCGGGUUGUAAACCUCUUUCAGCAGGGAAGAAGCGCAAGUGACGGUACCUGCAGAAGAAGCGCCGGCUAACUACGUGCCAGCAGCCGCGGUAAUACGUAGGGCGCAAGCGUUGUCCGGAAUUAUUGGGCGUAAAGAGCUCGUAGGCGGCUUGUCACGUCGGAUGUGAAAGCCCGGGGCUUAACCCCGGGUCUGCAUUCGAUACGGGCUAGCUAGAGUGUGGUAGGGGAGAUCGGAAUUCCUGGUGUAGCGGUGAAAUGCGCAGAUAUCAGGAGGAACACCGGUGGCGAAGGCGGAUCUCUGGGCCAUUACUGACGCUGAGGAGCGAAAGCGUGGGGAGCGAACAGGAUUAGAUACCCUGGUAGUCCACGCCGUAAACGUUGGGAACUAGGUGUUGGCGACAUUCCACGUCGUCGGUGCCGCAGCUAACGC